This 261-nucleotide ribosomal RNA is filed under the name Triticum aestivum (bread wheat). RNAcentral describes it as "partial small subunit ribosomal RNA". The record is from RNAcentral. Lineage: Eukaryota; Viridiplantae; Streptophyta; Magnoliopsida; Poales; Poaceae.
AUGGAUGGCCUCUGCUGUGCUGUUGCUUGGGUACACAGAAGUGCCACCUUGAUGAAACGAAGUACUUGCUCCUCUGGGUAUUCUUCCACGUCUGGAUCUACAAUUUCCAAAAGUCUCUCUUCUUCUCGCAGCUUCCAUGUGAAUUACCCAUUCCACAAGGACAUGCAUAUCUUCCCCCCAAGUCGAUUUGCUGCUGCUUUCACCACUUAUAACUUCAAGAAGCAGCACCCCGAAACUAUAUAUGUCUGCUUUCUUGGUUAA